Molecule: long non-coding RNA, 20070 nt
Filed under: Cucumis sativus (cucumber)
Lineage: Eukaryota; Viridiplantae; Streptophyta; Magnoliopsida; Cucurbitales; Cucurbitaceae
Description: long non-coding RNA (CSAT_LNC000177)
Source: RNAcentral
GCGUGCGACGCAGGAGGGCGCGCGGGCGCAGGAGGGCGCGCGGGCAUGCGGGCGCGUGCGGGUCGCGAAGCGGGUCAAAACCGGGUUUUCGGGUCUGUGACCUUCUUUUCUUCAUUUUUUUCAAUUCUCUCACCCGGUUGAACAAUUACAGCCUAGCUUCAACUCUAAUGACUUUUUUUAUUUUUUUAAAAAUUACAAACACUUUGCAACAAUAAAAAUAAGCCAUUAACAAGGCUAAUUACAAUAAUUAGAACAAAAACACUUAAUCUAGAGCCAAAAUCAUAAUAUAUCCAUUUUAGUUCAAACCAAAAUUUAUCUAAUAAAUAUGAACCCACCACAUGCAAUUGGGUAAAAAUGAAGCAUGCUCUGAUACCACAUGAUAGAACUAAGUCAUGCACAGCGGAAAAAGAAUCGAAUUUCUACCCUAAUUGCCACAAUUAACAUGUAACCAUAAACUAAUCAAAUUAGGGUUUUAAGAAGUAUUACCUUUGAAGCUUUCAAAAGGUUUGAUGUCUUCUUACCAAUUCUACCCGAGACCACCACUAGUACUCAACUGCUAUCCUCUAGACAAAGAACCGGGUUGUGGGACCCAAUUUUGGUGUAGAAAGUAAUGGAGAUAAAAUGAGAUUGGAAGCUUUCUUUUUUCUUUUGUUGAGAUUAUGAAAAUGAUAAAAGAGGCAAAAGUCCUUCAACAUUUGAAAACAUCUCUAUUUAUAGCCUAAUUACAUGCAAAAAUGCAUGCAAUUCAAUUGCCAAAUCUCAACACCUAAUAUUCCACUAACAAUUAGUGGAACUUAGUGGGCUAGGUGUCUAUAUCUCAUAUAGCCACAUAUCCCACUAAGAGUUAGUGGGAUUAUCCAACAAAAUGUUGGAUUUUCCCACUAACUUAGUCCAAGGGUAAAAUGGUCAUUAGAUUUUUCUAGUCAAAAGUCAAACUUUGACUUUUCUAAGUCAAAAGUCAAUAUUUUGACUUUUUACCAUUUUGUCCGUCUUGACUAAUUCCAACCUCCCGAGCAUGAAUCCGCAUUCAUUUUUCCAAAAUUCAAAUCACAUUUGAAUAUAAGGCCGGUCAAAGUUUGACUUUUCAAAGUCAAAAGUCAACAUUUUGACUUUUUACUAUUUUUGACCAAUUCCGAGCUUCUUAGUAUGAAUCCGCAUUCAUACUUAUAGUAUGUAAAACAUAAAGCUCUAUUUCUAAUUAGAAGACCGACGAUUAUAUCACUGUAUAUGUCGGUUUUCCUCUUCUCCCUAUUCGAACAAUUCGACUUAUUUCAUCACACUGUUCUAAGUUUAAUCCAUAUGAGCUAGCAGAGGAACCUAAUGGACCUAUAGAUCAUGGGCUCCAACGAUUCAAGAUUAACUAGCUAAACUCUUUUAAACCGAGUUAAUCAACAUUCGUUAACUAACGGGUCAUUCCACUAAAGUCCCGUAGUUGCACUCCCCUCACUAUAGAUAUAUUUGUGUCCAUUUGAUAAAACCAUAAUCAGUAAGUUAAUCCUUCACAGGUUGCUCGUAACCUUGGCUGGGUCAAAAUACCGUUUUACCCCCAAGAUUACAUCUUGCUCCUUAAGUCCCACUAAUCCACUAUUGAACAAUUGGUUUAAGGUUCAACCUAUAAACUUAAUCCCUCUCGGGCCAAUGAGAGGGUGGGGCCCCUUGUUCAAGACUUGGAUUCAGUGCUUAAGAGAGCAACCUAUCUACUAACCCUAAAGCGGGUAGGAGUGAAUUCCAUCUUGUACCCUAUGUUCCCAGCUAUCCACCCGAUCUUACCCCUGAAAUGGGAGGCUUAUUGGGCCAACGCUGAUGAGCUGCCCUCACCUAUGCAGAUCUAAGGAUAAUCUCGUAUGAACAGGAGUUCAUAGUUAACUCAGGAUUAAGACUAAGUUACCUAGGUCAUCAAUAAUUGAGAUAGUCAGUUUUAAACAGUAAACGGUGUUAUAACGUAAAAAUGACUAAUUCAUGGUUCAGUCUUAUGUAAACAUUUUACAUAGGAUGCCCCCACUUUCAUGUCUCUACAUGAACGAUUAGGAUCACAUCGUUUGUACUACAAAGUGGGCCGCAUCCAUAGUCUCUCAAAAUAAGGCGCCCAACCUUUAUUUCAUAUACUAUAGACUAUUUAGGCUAUAUACUCGAACUUGAUCCACGUUUAUGUUUACACAUAAAGUUCAAGUUUAUUCAAAAAAUAGCCUUGGAACUUUGAUUUAUUGGAUUUAAGAUUAUAAUAUUUAAUUUCUCAAUAACAACUUUAUUGAAUAGAAUAUGAUUUACAAACUACGAGUUUUAGGACAAAAAAUUCCAACAAACUCCCACUUGGACUAAAAUUCCUAGUGGUAUGAGAGAUGUGGUGUGAGAGAAUAUAUAUGAAACUAGGGCACAUGGCCAAUAAGUCUCCCACUUGUCCUAGUUUACAAACAUCGUACACCUAAACUGUGUAGGUGACCCUCAAACACUUUAGCCAUGAGGGCUUUUGUAAAAUGAUCAGCUUCCAUUGUGGAAUCAGCUAUACAAGUUUGCUUUAUGCUUCUCCAAACUACUGCUCCUCCAUUUAGAGUAAAUACUGAUUCUGAUGUAGACUUUCUAACAUCUUUAUUAGUUUGGAAAUCUGAAUCAGUGUAUCCAGUAAGGAUCAUAUCCUUUGUACGAUACAUGAGCAUGUAGAAUGUUUUUAACGGCUGUCCAGUGAUCACGUCCAUGAUUGGAUUGAUACCUACUGACCAUCCCUACUGAGUAGCAAAUGUCAGGUCUAGUACAUAACAUAUGCAUACAUUAAACUUCCAACAGCGGAAGCAUAGGGAAUAUUUCUCAUAUCCUCAACUUCUUGAGGUGUCUUAGGACAUUGUUCCUUUGACAAAUGAAUUCCAUAUCUGUACGGCAGCAGACCCUUUUUGGAAUUCUGCAUUUUAUAUCUAGACAACAUUUUGUCUAUGUAAGAUGCUUGAGACAUGGCUAGUGUUUUGUUCUUACGGUUUCGAACAAUUUGGAUUCCGAGAACGUAUUGUGCAUCUCCCAGAUCUUUCAUUUGAAAUUGCAUAGCUAGCCAUUUCUUGAUAUCAGGAAGAUAUCCUAGUCAUUUCCAAUAAGUAGAAUAUCAUCUACAUAUAAGACUAAAAAAUGCUAUAAUGGAAUUGACGACCUUUUGUAAACACAAGGCUCGUCAACAUUUUGUUCAAAGCCAUAAGAUUUUGAUCGCAAUAUCAAAUCUUAUAUUCCAGGAUCUAGAAGCUUGUUUUAAUCCAUAAAUGGAUUUUUUAAGCUUACAAACCUUUUGUUCUUGAUCUUGUUUUAUAAACCCCUCUGGUUGAGACAUAUAGAUACUCUUCAAGAUUACCGUUCAAAAAAGCUGUCUUGACAUCCAUCUGCCAAAUUUCAUAAUCAUAAAAAGUGGCGAUGGAUAAGAGUAUUCUAAUUGACUUUAACAUGGCAACGGGAGAGAAAGUUUCCUCUAGUCUACUCCCUCUCUCUAGGUAUAACCCUUUGCCACAAGUCGAGCCUUAAAAGUCUGUACUUUACCGGCAUGGUCUCGUUUUCUCUUGUAGAUCCAUUUACAACCAAUAGGUUUUACGUCAUUUGGUUGAUCUACUAGAGUCUAGAAAGAAUUAAAGUACAUAGACUCCAUUUCGAGGUCCAUGGCUUUGAUCCAUUGGUCACGAUCUACAUCUUUCAUUGCCUGUUUAUAGGUUAAUGGAUCCUCUAUGCCAUCGUCAGGUAUGACGACUUGAGUUUCAAUUAAACCCAAAUAGCGAUCAGGCUGAUGAACAACCCUCCCACUACGUCGAGGCUCUCUCAACUGUUGAGAAGGAUGUGAUUGACCAGAUUUCCUAGUCUUAUCAACUACUUUAGUGGAUGAACUAGGUUUUAUCUAUAGCACUUUUGGAAAUUUCUUUAAAUACUAGUUUACUACGAGGUUGAUGAUCCCUGAUGUGGUAUUUUAUUUUCUUGAGGAUCAUAAAACAAACCACCUCUUGAUUCUUUUGGAUAACCUAUAAAAAAGCAUAAUUUUGAACGAUGUUCCAAUUUCUUUGGAUUUUGUACCAACACAUGUGCUGGACAACCCCAAAUUUUAAAAUGACGUAAACUGCCUUUACGCCCUUUCCAUAGCUCAUAAGGUGUUUCUGAAACACUUUUAGAGGGAACAUUAUUCAAAAUAUAAGCAGCUGUUUCUAAAGCAUAUCCCCAAAAAGAAUCUGACAUCUGAGAAAAACUCAUCAUAGAGCGAACCAUGUCUAACAAGGUCCAGUUUCUUCUUUCUGAUACACCGUUCUGUUGAGGUGUACUAGGUGCAGAGAGUUGUGACUGGAUUCCAUUUUCUAUUAAAUAGUCUCGGAAUCGUAAGUCCAUAUACUCUCCACCUCGAUCUGAUCGAAGUAUUUUUAUUGUUUUACCUAAUUCGUUUUCUACUUCAGCCUUAUAUUCUUUGAACUUUUCAAGACUAUUAGACUUAUGAUGUAUUAGGUAAAUAUGACCAUACCUUGAAUAAUCAUCAAUGAAGCUAAUGAAAUAUUCAUAUCCACCUCGAGUUUUGACAUUCAUUGGUCCACAAAGGUCCGAAUGUACGAGCUCUAAGGGUCCUUUGGCUCUUAGACCUUUUCCAGUAAAAGAUCUCUUGGUCAUUUUUCCUUCAAGACAAGAUUCACAAGGAGGUAAAGAGUUAUCUUCUAACGGACUUAGAAGCCCACUUUUAACCAAUCUCCCAAUCCUAUUGAGAUUUAUGUGACCAAGUCUUAAGUGCCAUAAAUAGGCAUUAGAAGAAACUUUUUGUCUUUUAUUCUGAGUUUCAGCUGUUCUGAAUAUUUCAGUAUUUAAGACAAAAUUUGCUCUAGUUGGUCUUAACUUAUAUAAGUUGUCUUCAAGUAUAGCAGAACAAACUAGAAUACCUUUAUAGAAAACGAACGCUUCAUUAAUUUCAAAAGAUAUUCUAUACAUUUGUUCCAAAAUACAAGAGAUAGAUAUUAAAUUUCUUUUCAUUUGAGGUACAUAUAAGACAUUCUUAAGUAUGACAUAUCUAUCUCUAAAAAACAACUUUAAAUCUCCCACUGCUGAAGCUGAGACCAUCUCUCCUGUUCCAACCUUGAGAGUGAUCUCGCCUUCUGAAAGCUUUUUCCAAGAACUAUUUUCCUGAAAUGAGAAGCAAAUAUGGUUAGUGGCUCCUGAAUCUAGUAUCCAGGUAGAAUUUUCAUAUUCCACUAAACAUGUUUCUACAACUAGUAAAUCAUAUUUACCUUGUGUUUCCUUCUCUGCCUUUUUUUCUGCAAGGUAUUUUGGGCAGUUUCUUAACCAGUGCCCGUUUUGGCCACAAUGGUAACACUUACCUUUUUCUGCAGCUUUCUUACCCUUGUUCUGUUUGGGAGUCUUUCCCUUUCCCUUCUUUUUUAUUUGAGCAUUAGGUUUUGAGGGUCCAGCUUUGGUUUUAGAGGACGAUCCUCUUAUAAAUUUUCUUUUUGUGGUAGCAACAUUUGCUUCCACUUGUUUUCCUUUACCCAUAGUUAGGUUUUGGAAUCGCUGGAGUUCAUUCAGAAGGGUUGUCAAGUUAAAUUCUAUCUUGUUCAAAGACGCAUUCGUUUGGAAUGGAAUGAAGCUCUUCGGAAGAGACUCUAAGAUAAAACUAACUUGAUUAACCUCUUCGAUGGGACCACCAUUCACUUCAGCGAUGUUGAAGUGCAUCAUCAUGUCCAGAACAUGUUCUCUAACAGAGGUCCCUUCCUUCAUACGCUUAGUGUAAAUGUAUUUGACUGCCUCGUGUCUUAAGGACCAUUCUGGUUGCCCAAACAUUCCCCUUAAUGAAUCCAUAAUCUCUUUAGCCGUGGCUAAGGAUUCAUGUUUCUUUGCCAAUACAUCAGACAUGCUGGCAAGAAUGUAAACACGGGCUUUUUCAUUAGCUUUUAUCCAUCGAUCAUAUGCAUCCCGACUAGUUCGGUUAGCAUUAGAGGCAGGGUUUUGAGGACAUUCCUCAGUUAAGACAAAUCUUAAAUCGUCAACCACUAGUAUUGUGUUAAGAUUUGAUUUCCAAGCCGCAUAAUUAUCGCCAUUAAGUUUUUCGGAAGCUAAAAGUUGAACUAUUGAGCUAUUCAUGCUGAAAAACAAACAUAUUCUUUUUAGGAAAAAACUAUAAUCAUAAAAAAUAUCCAAUCUAAUUUAGCAAUUACUAAUAAUGUACCCUUUCAUUAUUUGUAUUUUGCAACAAUAUUUCAAAGGUUUAGAACAACCUUCUCCGAAGGGUAGUUGAUUAUUCCUCCUUUGAACCAAGACAAUCUUGACUAGAUGCUAUCUCAAGAAUAACUCUUUAUUCUUUAUAGCACUUAGUUAUCGCUACUUUAGUCAAGAAUAUACUAACAACUUAGUAAUUCUUGUAAGUGUUACCCACCAUUUUCAGAUUUUAUAGAUUAGAAUCAUUUAUGAAAACUAAUCUAAGAAAUCCUAUCCAGUUUUGGAGUUCGCGGUGUUCCGAAUCCUAUAAUACAACCCUCCGAAGGGAACGUCGCUCCAGGGCAGACAAGCAGGCAUAUUAUAGAAAUCUCACGGUGCGACCUAAUGGAAGAGACCGUGGGAUGUGCUGUCACAAAUCCCUCACCCACUUACUAUGAACUACUUCCCCUAUUCACCUUGAUUUUGAUCCAUGCAAACACUCUCCGAAGGGAGGCCGCUCCUAUGCACGGCACAAAGCCCUGCAUGGACCUCACGGUGUGUGAACUCUUAGGGACACUAGAGCUAAAAUACAUUAUUUUUCUCUAGUUGAAGUGUUCUAGAAAAAAAUAGGGUAAUCCAAACUUCAAGAUUUAUAUUUAGGCUAACUUAAACAAAUCUUAAGUCUAGAUAAAACAUCCAAGUAUAACCAUUAUACAGGAUUUUAACCUAUGAUGUCUAGGUGAAAAACCAUUUUUAUUACCUCACACCUCUCACGAAUGCUCAUAAAACUAGGUUAACUAGGCUCAAGAACUGAUUACGAUCUCCAGGUAGGAGGUGUUCCGUAAACCGUCAACUUAAGAACCUCCAACCUUAGUCAUCUUAUCUGACUUGUUGACAAGAUUGAACCAGGUGAGCCUUUUGUAACCAGUUUUACAAGAUAUCGACCUAUUUCUAUGAAAAAUGGAAGAUAUGUUUAACCUAAGUGAGCAUGCAUUUAAUCUUUGUUAUUGAUUUUAAAAGUCUAAUUUAUUUUAUAACACUUAUAAAAAUUUUAAACUUAAUCAAUCAUUUUAUCAAUAUAUAAUAAAAACAAUCAAUUAAUAUGGAUUUUAAUUUAUUUAACUUUAAUUAAAUCAUAUUUAAUUAAAUUAAAUCAAACAAUAAUUAAUUAAUUUGAUUAAAUCAUAUUUAAUCAAGAAUAACUUAAUUAAUUAAAUAAUUAAUUAAUCAUAUUAAUUAAUUUCCAUAUUAAUCAAUUAACAUGCAUACAAUACAAUAUAACCUUUAUAUCAUACAUUUUAAUGCAUGAACAUGUUAACCUAUGGUGGGAUUUUAAAUCUAUAUGACAUUCAAAAUGCACAUACAAAUUUAAAGUAAUUUAAUCAUACAUCACAUGCAUAAAUAAAAAAAACACCCUAAAAUGGACUGAUUUUUGGCUCCUAAAUUAAGCUAAGUGCUAAAUUAUUACAUAAUUAAUUUGGUGUAGUACAGAACCACUCCCAAAAAUUUCGAACCGGCUAAAAAACCAACCGAACCGCUUGAACCGGCCCAAAAACCAAAUUUAUUGGCUUGAACCGGCCCAGGCGCACACGGGUCGUGCGAAGGCAGGCGCGCGGGCGAAGGCGGCGCGCGGGCGCAUGCGGGCGCGGCGCAGCGGCGCGCGGGCGCAUGCAGGCGCGCGGGCGCAGGAGGCGCGCGGGCGCAGGAGGGCGCGCGCGCGGCGGCGCAGGAGGGCGCGCGGCGCAGGAGGGCGGCGGGCGCGUGCGGACGCAGGAGGCGCGGGCGCAGGAGGGCGCGGGCAUGCGGGCGCGUGCGGGUCGCGAAGCGGGUCAAAACCGGGUUUUCGGGUCUGUGACCUUCUUUUCUUCAUUUUUUCAAUUCCUCUCACCCGGUUGAACUAAUUACAGCCUAGCUUCAACUCUAAUGACUUUUUUUUUUUUUAAAAAUUACAAACACUUUGCAACAAUAAAAAUAAGCCAUUAACAAGGCUAAUUACAAUAAUUAGAACAAAAAACACUUAAUCUAGAGCCAAAAUCAUAAAUAUCCAUUUUAGUUCAAACCAAAAUUUAUCUAAUAAAUAUGAACCACAUGCAAUUGGUAAAAAUGAAGCAUGCUCUGAUACCACAUGAUAGAACUAAGUCAUGCACAGCGGAAAAAGAAUCGAAUUUCUACCCUAAUUGCCACAAUUAACAUCUAACCAUAAACUAAUCAAAUUAGGGUUUUAAGAAGUAUUACCUUUGAAGCUUUCAAAAAGGUUUGAUGUCUUCUUACCAAUUCUACCCGAGACCACCACUAGUACUCAACUGCUAUCCUCUAGACAAAGAACCGGGUUGUGGACCCAAUUUUGGUGUAGAAAGUAAUGGAGAUAAAAUGAGAUUGGAAGCUUUCUUUUUUUCUUUUGUUGAGAUUAUGAAAAUGAUAAAAGAGGCAAAAGUCCUUCAACAUUUGAAAACAUCUCUAUUUAUAGCCUAAUUACAUGCAAAAAUGCAUGCAAUUCAAUUGCCAAAUCUCAACACCUAAUAUUCCACUAACAAUUAGUGGAACUUAGUGGCUAGGUGUCUAUAUCUCAUAUAGCCACAUAUCCCACUAAGAGUUAGUGGGAUUAUCCAACAAAGUUGGAUUUUCCCACUAACUUAGUCCAAGGGUAAAAUGGUCAUUAGAUUUUUCUAGUCAAAAGUCAAACUUUGACUUUUCUAAGUCAAAAGUCAAUAUUUUGACUUUUUACCAUUUUGUCCGUCUUGACUAAUUCCAACCUCCCGAGCAUGAAUCCGCAUUCAUUUUUCCAAAAUUCAAAUCACAUUUGAAUAUAAGGCCGGUCAAAGUUUGACUUUUCAAAGUCAAAAGUCAACAUUUUGACUUUUUACUAUUUUUGACCAAUUCCGAGCUUCUUAGUAUGAAUCCGCAUUCAUACUUAUAGUAUGUAAACAUAAAGCUCUAUUUCUAAUUAGAAGACCGACGAUUAUAUCACUGUAUAUGUCGGUUUUCCUUUCUUCUCCCUAUUCGAACAAUUCGACUUAUUUCAUCACACUGUUCUAAGUUUAAUCCAUAUGACUAGCAGAGGAACCUAAUGGACCUAUAGAUCAUGGCUCCAACGAUUCAAGAUUAACUAGCUAAACUCUUUUAAACCGAGUUAAUCAACAUUCGUUAACUAACGGGUCAUUCCACUAAAGUCCCGUAGUUGCACUCCCCUCACUAUAGAUAUAUUUGUGUCCAUUUGAUAAAACCAUAAUCAGUAAGUUAAUCCUUCACAGGUUGCUCGUAACCUUGGCUGGGUCAAAAUACCGUUUUACCCCCAAGAUUACAUCUUGCUCCUUAAGUCCCACUAAUCCACUAUUGAACAAUUGGUUUAAGGUUCAACCUAUAAACUUAAUCCCUCUCGGGCCAAUGAGAGGGUGGGGCCCCUUGUUCAAGACUUGGAUUCAGUGCUUAAGAGAGCAACCUAUCUACUAACCCUAAAGCGGGUAGGAGUGAAUUCCAUCUUGUACCCUGUUCCCAGCUAUCCACCCGAUCUUACCCCUGAAAUGGGAGGCUUUUGGGCCAACGCUGAUGAGCUGCCCUCACCUAUGCAGAUCUAAGGAUAAUCUCGUAUGAACAGGAGUUCAUAGUUAACUCAGGAUUAAGACUAAGUUACCUAGGUCAUCAAUAAUUGAGAUAGUCAGUUUUAAACAGUAAACGGUGUUAUAACGUAAAAAUGACUAAUUCAUGGUUCAGUCUUAUGUAAACAUUUUACAUAGGAUGCCCCCACUUUCAUGUCUCUACAUGAACGAUUAGGAUCACAUCGUUUGUACUACAAAGUGGGCCGCAUCCAUAGUUCUCAAAAUAAGGCGCCCAACCUUUAUUUCAUAUACUAUAGACUAUUUAGGCUAUAUACUCGAACUUGAUCCACGUUUAUGUUUACACAUAAAGUUCAAGUUUAUUCAAAAAAUAGCCUUGGAACUUUGAUUUAUUGGAUUUAAGAUUAUAAUAUUUAAUUUCUCAAUAACAACUUUAUUGAAUAGAAUAUGAUUUACAAACUACGAGUUUUAGGACAAAAAAUUCCAACACGAUAUCUGAGUGGAGUGUCUCAAAGUUUCUUGCCACAAAAGCCGAACGGUGACGCCCCAGACUCGGUUUCUUGGUUCCGUCCCAAAACGCCGAAGAAAGGCACAAUGGCCUAGAAAGGGACGGUCGGACUUGGAACGGGGUCCGAGGCCUCGAAAGUCCACAUCUAGCUACUGGGUGGUCCGAUUUUGAGUGAUCUCGAAGUUUCUUGCCCACAAAAGCCGAACGGUGACGCCCCAGACUCGGUUUCUUGGUUCCGUCCCAAAACGCCGAAGAAAGGCACAAUGGCCUAGAAAGGGACGGUCGGACUUGGAACGGGGUCCGAGGCCUCGAAAGUCCACAUCUAGCUACUGGGUGGUCCGAUUCUGAGUGAUCUCGAAGUUUCUUGCCCACAAAAGCCGAACGGUGACGCCCCAGACUCGGUUUCUUGGUUCCGUCCCAAAACGCCGAAGAAAGGCACAAUGGCCUAGAAAGGGACGGUCGGACUUGGAACGGGGUCCGAGGCCUCGAAAGUCCACAUCUAGCUACUGGGUGGUCCGAUUCUGAGUGAUCUCGAAGUUUCUUGCCCACAAAAGCCGAACGGUGACGCCCAGACUCGGUUUCUUGGUUCCGUCCCAAAACGCCGAAGAAAGGCACAAUGGCCUAGAAAGGGACGGUCGGACUUGGAACGGGGUCCGAGGCCUCGAAAGUCCACAUCUAGCUACUGGGUGGUCCGAUUCUGUGAUCUCGAAGUUUCUUGCCCACAAAAGCCGAACGGUGACGCCCCAGACUCGGUUUCUUGGUUCCGUCCCAAAACGCCGAAGAAAGGCACAAUGGCCUAGAAAGGGACGGUCGGACUUGGAACGGGGUCCGAGGCCUCGAAAGUCCACAUCUAGCUACUGGGUGGUCCGAUUCUGAGUGAUCUCGAAGUUUCUUGCCCACAAAAGCCGAACGGUGACGCCCCAGACUCGGUUUCUUGGUUCCGUCCCAAAACGCCGAAGAAAGGCACAAUGGCCUAGAAAGGGACGGUCGGACUUGGAACGGGGUCCGAGGCCUCGAAAGUCCACAUCUAGCUACUGGGUGGUCCGAUUCUGAGUGAUCUCGAAGUUUCUUGCCCACAAAAGCCGAACGGUGACGCCCCAGACUCGGUUUCUUGGUUCCGUCCCAAAACGCCGAAGAAAGGCACAAUGGCCUAGAAAGGGACGGUCGGACUUGGAACGGGGUCCGAGGCCUCGAAAGUCCACAUCUAGCUACUGGGUGGUCCGAUUCUGAGUGAUCUCGAAGUUUCUUGCCCACAAAAGCCGAACGGUGACGCCCCAGACUCGGUUUCUUGGUUCCGUCCCAAAACGCCGAAGAAAGGCACAAUGGCCUAGAAAGGGACGGUCGGACUUGGAACGGGGUCCGAGGCCUCGAAAGUCCACAUCUAGCUACUGGGUGGUCCGAUUCUGAGUGAUCUCGAAGUUUCUUGCCCACAAAAGCCGAACGGUGACCCCAGACUCGGUUUCUUGGUUCCGUCCCAAAACGCCGAAGAAAGGCACAAUGGCCUAGAAAGGGACGGUCGGACUUGGAACGGGGUCCGGCCUCGAAAGUCCACAUCUAGCUACUGGGUGGUCCGAUUCUGAGUGAUCUCGAAGUUUCUUGCCCACAAAAGCCGAACGGUGACGCCCCAGACUCGGUUUCUUGGUUCCGUCCCAAAACGCCGAAGAAAGGCACAAUGGCCUAGAAAGGGACGGUCGGACUUGGAACGGGGUCCGAGGCCUCGAAAGUCCACAUCUAGCUACUGGGUGGUCCGAUUCUGAGUGAUCUCGAAGUUUCUUGCCCACAAAAGCCGAACGGUGACGCCCCAGACUCGGUUUCUUGGUUCCGUCCCAAAACGCCGAAGAAAGGCACAAUGGCCUAGAAAGGGACGGUCGGACUUGGAACGGGGUCCGAGGCCUCGAAAGUCCACAUCUAGCUACUGGGUGGUCCGAUUCUGAGUGAUCUCGAAGUUUCUUGCCCACAAAAGCCGAACGGUGACGCCCCAGACUCGGUUUCUUGGUUCCGUCCCAAAACGCCGAAGAAAGGCACAAUGGCCUAGAAAGGGACGGUCGGACUUGGAACGGGGUCCGAGGCCUCGAAAGUCCACAUCUAGCUACUGGGUGGUCCGAUUCUGAGUGAUCUCGAAGUUUCUUGCCCACAAAAGCCGAACGGUGACGCCCCAGACUCGGUUUCUUGGUUCCGUCCCAAAACGCCGAAGAAAGGCACAAUGGCCUAGAAAGGGACGGUCGGACUUGGAACGGGGUCCGAGGCCUCGAAAGUCCACAUCUAGCUACUGGGUGGUCCGAUUCUGAGUGAUCUCGAAGUUUCUUGCCCACAAAAGCCGAACGGUGACGCCCCAGACUCGGUUUCUUGGUUCCGUCCCAAAACGCCGAAGAAAGGCACAAUGGCCUAGAAAGGGACGGUCGGACUUGGAACGGGGUCCGAGGCCUCGAAAGUCCACAUCUAGCUACUGGGUGGUCCGAUUCUGAGUGAUCUCGAAGUUUCUUGCCCACAAAAGCCGAACGGUGACGCCCAGACUCGGUUUCUUGGUUCCGUCCCAAAACGCCGAAGAAAGGCACAAUGGCCUAGAAAGGGACGGUCGGACUUGGAACGGGGUCCGAGGCCUCGAAAGUCCACAUCUAGCUACUGGGUGGUCCGAUUCUGAGUGAUCUCGAAGUUUCUUGCCCACAAAAGCCGAACGGUGACGCCCCAGACUCGGUUUCUUGGUUCCGUCCCAAAACGCCGAAGAAAGGCACAAUGGCCUAGAAAGGGACGGUCGGACUUGGAACGGGGUCCGAGGCCUCGAAAGUCCACAUCUAGCUACUGGGUGGUCCGAUUCUGAGUGAUCUCGAAGUUUCUUGCCCACAAAAGCCGAACGGUGACGCCCCAGACUCGGUUUCUUGGUUCCGUCCCAAAACGCCGAAGAAAGGCACAAUGGCCUAGAAAGGGACGGUCGGACUUGGAACGGGGUCCGAGGCCUCGAAAGUCCACAUCUAGCUACUGGGUGGUCCGAUUCUGAGUGAUCUCGAAGUUUCUUGCCCACAAAAGCCGAACGGUGACGCCCCAGACUCGGUUUCUUGGUUCCGUCCCAAAACGCCGAAGAAAGGCACAAUGGCCUAGAAAGGGACGGUCGGACUUGGAACGGGGUCCGAGGCCUCGAAAGUCCACAUCUAGCUACUGGUGGUCCGAUUCUGAGUGAUCUCGAAGUUUCUUGCCCACAAAAGCCGAACGGUGACGCCCCAGACUCGGUUUCUUGGUUCCGUCCCAAAACGCCGAAGAAAGGCACAAUGGCCUAGAAAGGGACGGUCGGACUUGGAACGGGGUCCGAGGCCUCGAAAGUCCACAUCUAGCUACUGGGUGGUCCGAUUCUGAGUGAUCUCGAAGUUUCUUGCCCACAAAAGCCGAACGGUGACGCCCCAGACUCGGUUUCUUGGUUCCGUCCCAAAACGCCGAAGAAAGGCACAAUGGCCUAGAAAGGGACGGUCGGACUUGGAACGGGGUCCGAGGCCUCGAAAGUCCACAUCUAGCUACUGGGUGGUCCGAUUCUGAGUGAUCUCGAAGUUUCUUGCCCACAAAAGCCGAACGGUGACCCCCAGACUCGGUUUCUUGGUUCCGUCCCAAAACGCCGAAGAAAGGCACAAUGGCCUAGAAAGGGACGGUCGGACUUGGAACGGGGUCCGGCCUCGAAAGUCCACAUCUAGCUACUGGGUGGUCCGAUUCUGUGAUCUCGAAGUUUCUUGCCCACAAAAGCCGAACGGUGACGCCCCAGACUCGGUUUCUUGGUUCCGUCCCAAAACGCCGAAGAAAGGCACAAUGGCCUAGAAAGGGACGGUCGGACUUGGAACGGGGUCCGAGGCCUCGAAAGUCCACAUCUAGCUACUGGGUGGUCCGAUUCUGAGUGAUCUCGAAGUUUCUUGCCCACAAAAGCCGAACGGUGACGCCCCAGACUCGGUUUCUUGGUUCCGUCCCAAAACGCCGAAGAAAGGCACAAUGGCCUAGAAAGGGACGGUCGGACUUGGAACGGGGUCCGAGGCCUCGAAAGUCCACAUCUAGCUACUGGGUGGUCCGAUUCUGUGAUCUCGAAGUUUCUUGCCCACAAAAGCCGAACGGUGACGCCCCAGACUCGGUUUCUUGGUUCCGUCCCAAAACGCCGAAGAAAGGCACAAUGGCCUAGAAAGGGACGGUCGGACUUGGAACGGGGUCCGAGGCCUCGAAAGUCCACAUCUAGCUACUGGGUGGUCCGAUUCUGAGUGAUCUCGAAGUUUCUUGCCCACAAAAGCCGAACGGUGACGCCCCAGACUCGGUUUCUUGGUUCCGUCCCAAAACGCCGAAGAAAGGCACAAUGGCCUAGAAAGGGACGGUCGGACUUGGAACGGGGUCCGAGGCCUCGAAAGUCCACAUCUAGCUACUGGGUGGUCCGAUUCUGAGUGAUCUCGAAGUUUCUUGCCCACAAAAGCCGAACGGUGACGCCCCAGACUCGGUUUCUUGGUUCCGUCCCAAAACGCCGAAGAAAGGCACAAUGGCCUAGAAAGGGACGGUCGGACUUGGAACGGGGUCCGAGGCCUCGAAAGUCCACAUCUAGCUACUGGGUGGUCCGAUUCUGUGAUCUCGAAGUUUCUUGCCCACAAAAGCCGAACGGUGACGCCCCAGACUCGGUUUCUUGGUUCCGUCCCAAAACGCCGAAGAAAGGCACAAUGGCCUAGAAAGGGACGGUCGGACUUGGAACGGGGUCCGAGGCCUCGAAAGUCCACAUCUAGCUACUGGGUGGUCCGAUUCUGAGUGAUCUCGAAGUUUCUUGCCCACAAAAGCCGAACGGUGACGCCCCAGACUCGGUUUCUUGGUUCCGUCCCAAAACGCCGAAGAAAGGCACAAUGGCCUAGAAAGGGACGGUCGGACUUGGAACGGGGUCCGAGGCCUCGAAAGUCCACAUCUAGCUACUGGGUGGUCCGAUUCUGAGUGAUCUCGAAGUUUCUUGCCCACAAAAGCCGAACGGUGACGCCCCAGACUCGGUUUCUUGGUUCCGUCCCAAAACGCCGAAGAAAGGCACAAUGGCCUAGAAAGGGACGGUCGGACUUGGAACGGGGUCCGAGGCCUCGAAAGUCCACAUCUAGCUACUGGGUGGUCCGAUUCUGAGUGAUCUCGAAGUUUCUUGCCCACAAAAGCCGAACGGUGACGCCCCAGACUCGGUUUCUUGGUUCCGUCCCAAAACGCCGAAGAAAGGCACAAUGGCCUAGAAAGGGACGGUCGGACUUGGAACGGGGUCCGAGGCCUCGAAAGUCCACAUCUAGCUACUGGGUGGUCCGAUUCUGUGAUCUCGAAGUUUCUUGCCCACAAAAGCCGAACGGUGACGCCCCAGACUCGGUUUCUUGGUUCCGUCCCAAAACGCCGAAGAAAGGCACAAUGGCCUAGAAAGGGACGGUCGGACUUGGAACGGGGUCCGAGGCCUCGAAAGUCCACAUCUAGCUACUGGGUGGUCCGAUUCUGAGUGAUCUCGAAGUUUCUUGCCCACAAAAGCCGAACGGUGACGCCCCAGACUCGGUUUCUUGGUUCCGUCCCAAAACGCCGAAGAAAGGCACAAUGGCCUAGAAAGGGACGGUCGGACUUGGAACGGGGUCCGAGGCCUCGAAAGUCCACAUCUAGCUACUGGGUGGUCCGAUUCUGAGUGAUCUCGAAGUUUCUUGCCCACAAAAGCCGAACGGUGACGCCCCAGACUCGGUUUCUUGGUUCCGUCCCAAAACGCCGAAGAAAGGCACAAUGGCCUAGAAAGGGACGGUCGGACUUGGAACGGGGUCCGAGGCCUCGAAAGUCCACAUCUAGCUACUGGGUGGUCCGAUUCUUGUGAUCUCGAAGUUUCUUGCCCACAAAAGCCGAACGGUGACGCCCCAGACUCGGUUUCUUGGUUCCGUCCCAAAACGCCGAAGAAAGGCACAAUGGCCUAGAAAGGGACGGUCGGACUUGGAACGGGGUCCGAGGCCUCGAAAGUCCACAUCUAGCUACUGGGUGGUCCGAUUCUGAGUGAUCUCGAAGUUUCUUGCCCACAAAAGCCGAACGGUGACGCCCCAGACUCGGUUUCUUGGUUCCGUCCCAAAACGCCGAAGAAAGGCACAAUGGCCUAGAAAGGGACGGUCGGACUUGGAACGGGGUCCGAGGCCUCGAAAGUCCACAUCUAGCUACUGGGUGGUCCGAUUCUGAGUGAUCUCGAAGUUUCUUGCCCACAAAAGCCGAACGGUGACGCCCCAGACUCGGUUUCUUGGUUCCGUCCCAAAACGCCGAAGAAAGGCACAAUGGCCUAGAAAGGGACGGUCGGACUUGGAACGGGGUCCGAGGCCUCGAAAGUCCACAUCUAGCUACUGGGUGGUCCGAUUCUGAGUGAUCUCGAAGUUUCUUGCCCACAAAAGCCGAACGGUGACGCCCAGACUCGGUUUCUUGGUUCCGUCCCAAAACGCCGAAGAAAGGCACAAUGGCCUAGAAAGGGACGGUCGGACUUGGAACGGGGUCCGAGGCCUCGAAAGUCCACAUCUAGCUACUGGGUGGUCCGAUUCUGAGUGAUCUCGAAGUUUCUUGCCCACAAAAGCCGAACGGUGACGCCCAGACUCGGUUUCUUGGUUUGUCCCAAAACGCCGAAGAAAGGCACAAUGGCCUAGAAAGGGACGGUCGGACUUGGAACGGGGUCCGAGGCCUCGAAAGUCCACAUCUAGCUACUGGGUGGUCCGAUUCUGAGUGAUCUCGAAGUUUCUUGCCCACAAAAAGCCAAACGGUGACGCCCUAGACUCGGUUUGUUGGUUCCGUCCCAAAACGUCGAAGAAAGCACAAUGGCCUAGAAAGGGACAGUCGGACUUUGGAACGGUGUCCGAGGCGUCGAAAGUCCACAUCUAGCUACUCGGUGGUCCGAUUCUGAGUGAUCUCGAAGUUUCUUGCCCACAAAAGGCGAACGGUGACGCCCCAGACUCGGUUUCUUGGUUCCAUCCGAAAACGCCGGAAGAAAGGCACAAUGGCCUAGAAAGGGACGGUCGGACUUGGAACGCGGUGCGAGGCCUCAAAAGUCCACAUCUAGCUACUGGGUGGUCCGAUUCUGAGUGAUCUCGAACUUUCUUGCCCACAAAAGGCGAACGGUGACGCCCAGACUCGGUUUCUUGGUUCCGUCCCAAAACGUCGAAGAAAGGCACAAUGGCCUAGAAAGGGACGGUCGGACUUGGAACGGUGUCCGAGGCCUCGAAAGUCCACAUCUAGCUACUGGGUGGUUCGAUUCUGAGUGAUCUCGAAGUUUCUUGCCCACAAAAGGCGAACGGUGACGCCCAGACUCGGUUUCUUGGUUCCGUCCGAAAACGCCGAAGAAAGGCACAAUGGCCUAGAAAGGGACGGUCGGACUUGGAACGCGGUCCGAGGCCUCGAAAGUCCACAUCUAGCUACUGGGUGGUCCGAUUCUGAGUGAUCUCGAACUUUCUUGCCCACAAAAGCCGAACGGUGUCGCCCCAGACUCGGUUUCUUGGUUCCGUCCCAAAACGCCGAAGAAAGGCACAAUGGCCUAGAAAGGGACGGUCGGACUUGGAACGGGGUCCGAGGCCUCGAAAGUCCACAUCUAGCUACUGGGUGGUCCGAUUCUGAGUGAUCUCGAAGUUUCUUGCCCACAAAAGCGAACGGUGACGCCCAGACUCGGUUUCUUGGUUCCGUCCCAAAACGCCGAAGAAAGGCCCAAUGGCCUAGAAAGGGACGGUCGGACUUGGAACGGGGUCCGAGGCCUCGAAAGUCCACAUCUAGCUACUGGGUUGUCCGAUUCUGAGUGAUCUCGAAGUUUCUUGCCCACAAAAGCCGAACGGUGACGCCCCAGACUCGGUUUCUUGGUUUUGUCCCAUAACGGCGAAGAAAGGCACAAUGGCCUAGAAAGGGACGGUCGGACUUGGAACGGGGUCCGAGGCCUCGAAAGUCCACAUCUAGCUACUGGGUGGUCCGAUUCUGAGUGAUCUCGAAGUUUCUUGCCCACAAAAGCCAAACGGUGACGCCCUAGACUCGGUUUGUUGGUUCCGUCCCAAAACGUCGAAGAAAGGCACAAUGGCCUAGAAAGGGACAGUCGGACUUGGAACGGUGUCCGAGGCCUCGAAAGUCCACAUCUAGCUACUCGGUGGUCCGAUUCUGAGUGAUCUCGAAGUUUCUUGCCCACAAAAGGCGAACGGUGACGCCUCAGACUCGGUUUCUUGGUUCCGUCCGAAAACGCCGAAGAAAGGCACAAUGGCCUAGAAAGGGACGGUCGGACUUGGAACGCGGUGCGAGGCCUCAAAAGUCCACAUCUAGCUACUGGGUGGUCCGAUUCUGAGUGAUCUCGAACUUUCUUGCCCACAAAAGCCGAACGGUGACGCCCCAGACUCAGUUUCUUGGUUCCGUCCCAAAACGCCGAAGAAAGGCACAAUGGCCUAGAAAGGGACGGUCGGACUUGGAACGGGGUCCGAGGCCUCGAAAGUCCACAUCUAGCUACUCGGUGGUCCGAUUCUGAGUGAUCUCGAAGGUUCUUGCCCACAAAAGGCGAACGGUGACGCCCAGACUCGGUUUCUUGGUUCCGUCCCAAAACGCCGAAGAAAGGCACAAUAGGGUAAUCCAAGCUUCAAGAUUUAUAUUUAGGCUAACUUAAACAAAUCUUAAGUCUAGAUAAAACAUCCAAGUAUAACCAUUAUACAGGAUUUUAACCUAUGAUGUCUAGGUGAAAAACCAUUUUUAUUACCUCACACUCUCACGAAUGCUCAUAAAACUAGGUUAACUAGGCUCAAGAACUGAUUACGAUCUUCAGUAGGAGGUGUUCCGUAAACCGUCAACUUAAGAACCUCCAACCUUAGUCAUCUUAUCUGACUUGUUGACAAGAUUGAACCAGGUGAGCCUUUUGUAACCAGUUUUACAAGAUAUCGACCUAUUUCUAUGAAAAAUGGAAGAUAUGUUUAACCUAAGUGAGCAUGCAUUUAAUCUUUGUUAUUGAUUUUAAAAAGUCUAAUUUAUUUUAUAACACUUAUAAAAACUUCUAUACUUAAUCAAUCAUUUUAUCAAUAUAUACUCUUAUAAAAACAAUCAAUUAAUAUGGAUUUUAAUUUAUUUAACUUUAAUUAAAUCAUAUUUAAUUAAAUUAAAUCAAACAAUAAUUAAUUAAUUUGAUUAAAUCAUAUUUAAUCAAGAAUAACUUAAUUAAUUAAUAAUUAAUUAAUCAUAUUAAUUAAUUUCCAUAUUAAUCAAUUAACAUGCAUACAAUACAAUAUAACCUUUAUAUCAUACAUUUUAAUGCAUGAACAUGUUAACCUAUGGUGGGAUUUUAAAUCUAUAUGACAUUCAAAAUGCACAUACAAAUUUAAAUAACUUAAUCAUACAUCACAUGCAUAAAUAAAAAAAACACCCUAAAAUUGACUGAUUUUUGGCUCCUAAAUUAAGCUAAGUGCUAAAUUAUUACAUAAUUAAUUUGGUGUAGUACAGAACCACUCCCAAAAACUUCGAACCGGCUAAAAAACCAACCGAAACCGCUUGAACCGGCCCAAAAACCAAAUUUAUUGGCUUGAACCGGCCCAGGCGCACACGGGUCGUGCGAAGGCAGGCGCGCGGGCGAAGGCGGGCGCGGGCGCAUGCGGGCGGCGGGCGGAUGCGGGCGCGCAGGCGCAUGCGGCGCGCGGCGCAGCGGCGCGCAGGCGCAUGCGGCGCGGCAGGCGGCGCGGGCGCAUGCGGCGCGCAGGCGGCAGGCGGGCGCGGGGCGCAGGAGGGCGCGCGGCAUGCGGGUCGCGAAGCGGGUCAAGGCCGGGUUUUCGGGUCUGUGACCUUCUUUUCUUCAUUUUUUUCAAUUCUCUCACCCGGUUGAACCAAUUACAGCCUAGCUUCAACUCUAAUGACUUUUUUAUUUUUUAAAAAUUACAAACACUUUGCAACAAUAAAAAUAAGCCAUUA